RNAcentral lists this ribosomal RNA (914 nucleotides) under uncultured Ascomycota. Its description in RNAcentral is "eukaryotic LSU rRNA". The stretch from base 275 to 914 matches the Rfam family "Eukaryotic large subunit ribosomal RNA", at positions 1 to 655 of the family's 3401-position model. Lineage: Eukaryota; Fungi; Ascomycota. The record is from RNAcentral.
AUCGAUGAAGAACGCAGCGAAAUGCGAUAAGUAAUGUGAAUUGCAGAAUUCAGUGAAUCAUCGAAUCUUUGAACGCACAUUGCGCCCCUUGGUAUUCCGGGGGGCAUGCCUGUUCGAGCGUCAUUAUAACCCCUCAAGCUCAGCUUGGUGUUGGGGCCUGCCUACUGGCAGCCCUUAAAAUCAGUGGCGGCGCCAUCUGGCUCUAAGCGUAGUAAUUUCUCUCGCUAUAGGGUCCCGAUGGAUGCUUGCCAGCAACCCCCAAUUUUUUAAUGGUUGACCUCGGAUCAGGUAGGGAUACCCGCUGAACUUAAGCAUAUCAAUAAGCGGAGGAAAAGAAACCAACAGGGAUUGCCUCAGUAACGGCGAGUGAAGCGGCAACAGCUCAAAUUUGAAAUCUGGCUCUUUCAGGGUCCGAGUUGUAAUUUGUAGAAGAUGCUUCGGGUGAGGCUCCGGUCUAAGUUCCUUGGAACAGGACGCCACAGAGGGUGAGAGCCCCUUAUGUGACUGGUUGCCUUCGCCCAUGUGAAGCUCUUUCGACGAGUCGAGUUGUUUGGGAAUGCAGCUCAAAAUGGGUGGUAAAUUUCAUCUAAAGCUAAAUAUUGGCCAGAGACCGAUAGCGCACAAGUAGAGUGAUCGAAAGAUGAAAAGCACUUUGGAAAGAGAGUUAAACAGUACGUGAAAUUGUUGAAAGGGAAGCGCUUGCAACCAGACUUGCACGCGGUUGAUCAUCUGGUGUUCUCACCAGUGCACUCUGCCGCGUUCAGGCCAGCAUCGGUUUUGGUGGUUGGAUAAAGGCCUUGGGAAUGUGGCUCCUCUCGGGGAGUGUUAUAGCCCUCGGUGCAAUGCAGCCUACCGGGACCGAGGACCGCGCUUCGGCUAGGAUGCUGGCGUAAUGGUUGUAAGCGACCCGUCUU